RNAcentral lists this ribosomal RNA (323 nucleotides) under uncultured Enterobacteriaceae bacterium. Its description in RNAcentral is "bacterial SSU rRNA". It matches the Rfam family "Bacterial small subunit ribosomal RNA", at positions 355 to 672 of the family's 1533-position model. The record is from RNAcentral. Lineage: Bacteria; Pseudomonadati; Pseudomonadota; Gammaproteobacteria; Enterobacterales; Enterobacteriaceae.
UGGGGAAUAUUGCACAAUGGGCGCAAGCCUGAUGCAGCCAUGCCGCGUGUAUGAAGAAGGCCUUCGGGUUGUAAAGUACUUUCAGCGAGGAGGAAGGCGUUGUGGUUAAUAACCGCAGCGAUUGACGUUACUCGCAGAAGAAGCACCGGCUAACUCCGUGCCAGCAGCCGCGGUAAUACGGAGGGUGCAAGCGUUAAUCGGAAUUACUGGGCGUAAAGCGCACGCAGGCGGUCUGUCAAGUCGGAUGUGAAAUCCCCGGGCUCAACCUGGGAACUGCAUCCGAAACUGGCAGGCUAGAGUCUUGUAGAGGGGUAGGAUUCAGG